This 427-nucleotide ribosomal RNA is filed under the name uncultured bacterium. RNAcentral's name for it is "bacterial SSU rRNA". It matches the Rfam family "Bacterial small subunit ribosomal RNA", at positions 355 to 774 of the family's 1533-position model. The record is from RNAcentral.
UGGGGAAUUUUGGACAAUGGACGCAAGUCUGAUCCAGCCAUGCCGCGUGCGGGAAGAAGGCCUUCGGGUUGUAAACCGCUUUUGUCAGGGAAGAAACGAGUUUCUCUAAUACAGAGACUUAAUGACGGUACCUGAAGAAUAAGCACCGGCUAACUACGUGCCAGCAGCCGCGGUAAUACGUAGGGUGCAAGCGUUAAUCGGAAUUACUGGGCGUAAAGCGUGCGCAGGCGGUUAUAUAAGACAGAUGUGAAAUCCCCGGGCUCAACCUGGGAACUGCCUUUGUGACUGCAUAGCUAGAGUACGGUAGAGGGGGAUGGAAUUCCGCGUGUAGCAGUGAAAUGCGUAGAUAUGCGGAGGAACACCGAUGGCGAAGGCAAUCCCCUGGACCUGUACUGACGCUCAUGCACGAGAGCGUGGGGAGCAAACA